GUUGUGCUUUGUGGUUGCCUUUGGAGCUGCCUCAUUUUGAGGGAUGUUCCUGGGGACUGUCACCAUCCCAGAACCAGCCCUGCUUGGUUCCUGCCUUCCUGCAGCUGCUCCUUGGUGUUUUAUCCCCAGGUACAGAGCAAUUGGGGGAAGAUCCUACAGCCCUUUUGGAGACUUCUCUUCAGCAUCAAGGGUAAAAAUGGAAAAGUGUCUGCUCGCCUGUCCUCCCAGCUCCUUUCCUUCCCGCAGCAAAGAAGCUGAGGGCUUUUCCUCCUUGGAGCCUCAAGCACCAAAAGAAGUGCAAAACAGAAUGAAUCACACAAUCCUUAGGGUUGGAAAAGACCUCCGAGGUCAUUUGGUCCAACCAGCCCCUGCCAAUAGCAGGUCCCUCUCACCUGCCUCUCCCCCCCCAUCUUCGGGAGGUGUUUUUGGAGGCUCCUCCUCCUGCCCUAACAGUUCAGUCCCAGAAAAAUUACAUCCCCUAACGACGGUGCCUGUGAAAUGCUAUGCUUAAUAAAAUGUGUCGCACAUCAAUAAUUUAGCUGCUUGUGACAACACGGCCUGGUAUUCUUGGUAAUUAAAAAUGGAUGAGAUGGCAAA
This is a long non-coding RNA of Cygnus olor (mute swan), 597 nucleotides long. RefSeq lists it as uncharacterized. The record is from RefSeq and is a predicted model, not a curated record. The transcript is spliced from 2 exons. Lineage: Eukaryota; Metazoa; Chordata; Aves; Anseriformes; Anatidae.